Molecule: ribosomal RNA, 379 nt
Filed under: uncultured cyanobacterium
Lineage: Bacteria; Bacillati; Cyanobacteriota
Description: bacterial SSU rRNA
Rfam family: Bacterial small subunit ribosomal RNA
Source: RNAcentral
CGAAAGCCUGACGGAGCAAGACCGCGUGAGGGAGGAAGGCUCUAGGGUUGUAAACCUCUUUUAUCAGGGAAGAAGCUCUGACGGUACCUGAGGAAUCAGCAUCGGCUAACUCCGUGCCAGCAGCCGCGGUAAUACGGAGGAUGCAAGCGUUAUCCGAAAUCAUUGGGCGUAAAGCGUCCGCAGGUGGGAGUUCAAGUCGAUUGUCAAAGGCAGUAGCUUAACUACUGAAAGGCAGUGGAAACUGAACAACUAGAGUGCGGUAGGGGUAGAGGGAAUUCCCGGUGUAGCGGUGAAAUGCGUAGAGAUCGGGAAGAACACCAGUGGCGAAAGCGCUCUGCUGGACCGGCACUGACACUGAGGGACGAAAGCUAGGGGAGCG